GUGAAACCCAUAUCUUGCAAAUGGGUUUACAAGAUAAAGACCCGGCUAGAUGGAUCAAUUGAGAGAGCGAUCUUGGGCACUCUUGCUAAUUCACAGCUGCUAUAAAAUUUGCUACUUUCAGAAAUCUUCGGCUACGAAUUCAAGAAACGCAGUGAAGCCAGUCUGAUAUAAAGUGGCAUCCAACUAUGCUUCGUGCAAGCACUCUGUUGAAGAGUCUUACCAUGACAUUCUAUCUGUGAAAGAAGAUGCAAGCCUUGAAGAAAUCCGUACUAGCUAUAGAUUGGCCAUCCUUAAUUAUCAUCCUGAUAAAUUGCAUAACUCAUAUCAGUCAUCUGAUGCUCAAAAUGAGUUGCUAGAUGGAUUUUUGAAGGCACAAAAGGCUAGGGAAAUCCUUAGCAAUUCAAGUUCACGUGCAGUUUAUGAUAUUGAGCUACGAGCUUCAAGAAAAGAUACAGGAGUUGCAUAAGAUGUGAGUUUAGAGGACAUGAUGAUUGAGGAUGGUGGAGAAAUCUUGGGGCUCUUUUAUCAAUGCUGAUGUGGUGUUCAUUUCUCUGUUGAUUCUUCGGAGUUGGGGAAUAUGGGAUAGACAUUGUUGAGUGAUGAAAAUAAGAUAUCAUUUGGAAUAUAGCAGAUGCUUUAGCAUCAGUUCUUCCCUGCGGUUUGUGUUCAUUGCAAGUUCAUCUAUUGAUUAAUGCAGACAUUAAGGUUCUAAUCAAUGACAAUCUGCACUUUUGAGAUAAAGAUCCCCUAAUGUGUGCAGACCAACCAGAUAGACUAUACAUGAUUAGCUUAAUUCUCAUUAACUUAGUUUGCCCUAUAUGGGGUGAAGUCUCUAGGCCUGAUGGAUAUGUACUACAUAUAUUACUGAUUUAGAGACAUUAGUAAGGAUUUCAU
Molecule: unclassified non-coding RNA, 894 nt
Filed under: Hevea brasiliensis (rubber tree)
Lineage: Eukaryota; Viridiplantae; Streptophyta; Magnoliopsida; Malpighiales; Euphorbiaceae
Source: RNAcentral